CCUUAAAUAGCCGCGUAUUCAAACUAGCCGAUCAUACGCUCCUUGCCUUCGUCACAUCCGUUCCAUCCAAGCAGUGUGGAAGAGGAAGUGAGAUUUGGCAGAUUACUGGUUCCGGUUCAAUCUUCUGAACCAACCGCGAAACCUUCGCCAAUCGAUGAUAUCCGUAAUGGAUUGUCUUCUUAUUCUCGCAGUCGGGGCAUCUCUGCCGGUUGAGGGCACCGGCCUUCCUCCGGUGGAGCUCUGCCUUGUUCUGACACCAACAACAAGCACUGAUUACCUGCGUUGCGUUUGCGUGACGCAUCCACAGAUCCGACAGAGUUUGGAUUCCGCACAAGGGUUCUUCAACCCUUAAAUAGCCGCGUAUUCAAACUAGCCGAUCAUACGCUCCUUGCCUUCGUCACAUCCGUUCCAUCCAAGCAGUGUGGAAGAGGAAGUGAGAUUUGGCAGAUUACUGGUUCCGGUUCAAUCUUCUGAACCAACCGCGAAACCUUCGCCAAUCGAUGAUAUCCGUAAUGGAUUGUCUUCUUAUUCUCGCAGUCGGGGCAUCUCUGCCGGUUGAGGGCACCGGCCUUCCUCCGGUGGAGCUCUGCCUUGUUCUGACACCAACAAGCACUGAUUACCUGCGUUGCGUUUGCGUGACGCAUCCACAGAUCCAACAGAGUUUGGAUUCCGCACAAGGGUUCUUCAACCCUUAAAUAGCCGCGUAUUCAAACUAGCCGAUCAUACGCUCCUUGCCUUCGUCACAUCCGUUCCAUCCAAGCAGUGUGGAAGAAGAAGUGAGAUUUGGCAGAUUACUGGUUCCGGUUCAAUCUUCUGAACCAACCGCGAAACCUUCGCCAAUCGAUGAUAUCCGUAAUGGAUUGUCUUCUUAUUCUCGCAGUCGGGGCAUCUCUGCCGGUUGAGGG
Molecule: long non-coding RNA, 905 nt
Filed under: Aedes aegypti (yellow fever mosquito)
Lineage: Eukaryota; Metazoa; Arthropoda; Insecta; Diptera; Culicidae
Description: lncRNA AAEL020876
Source: RNAcentral